CUCUUCGGAAAUUGGUCUUUUAAAACUGGAAGCUUCUUCAGACUUGUUCUACCAGACAAGGAGCCAGCUGAGACCAGUUAGUAGUGUAGUUCUCCAUUGUGCUGGUUAUCUAGCAGCCAUUUGCACAUGAACAUGUGCUUUCACUAAUAUGAAUAGAGAGCUUUCACUCCACAGAACUCCUGCCUAUGUGGCCCUAAUAUUAAAUAUUCAGGUCUUAUAUCCUACAUUUCUUCUCUUUAUGGGUAGAUCAGUGUCACUGUUGAGGCGGGUGUGACAUACAAAUAGACACACUACAUUUCAGAAGGCUAAUAUCCUCUUUUAUUAAAACAACUGGCUGUCUUUUAUACACUCUACAGAGUUUACAUUUGUUCAUUGGUUACAAUAGAUCAACAUAACAUUCAUUGGUGUAAAACACAUCUCCACCUCUGUUUUUCAUGAGACUUUUCUAAAAAUACUUUUCCCAGCUGCAGGUUUUCUUUCCUGCUUAUCUCCUUCUCUGUCUUCUCUUCUCAGUCUCCAGGCCAACAGCCUUGAUAGAAUACCUUUCAGAAAUAAUCCUUAUUCAUUAACCCUCUCUGGCUUACAGGCCAGCUGUAAGCCUCUCUCCACAUGACACUGAGGAGA
Non-coding RNA from Sturnus vulgaris (Common starling), 624 nucleotides. The record is from RefSeq and is a predicted model, not a curated record. Lineage: Eukaryota; Metazoa; Chordata; Aves; Passeriformes; Sturnidae.